ACGCACGCUGGCGGCGUGCUUAACACAUGCAAGUCGAACGGAAAGGCCCUGCUUUUGUGGGGUGCUCGAGUGGCGAACGGGUGAGUAACACGUGAGUAACCUGCCCUUGACUUUGGGAUAACUUCAUGAAACUGGGGCUAAUACCGGAUAGGAGCUCCUGCUGCAUGGUGGGGGUUGGAAAGUUUCGGCGGUUGGGGAUGGACUCGCGGCUUAUCAGCUUGUUGGUGGGGUAGUGGCUUACCAAGGCUUUGACGGGUAGCCGGCCUGAGAGGGUGACCGGCCACAUUGGGACUGAGAUACGGCCCAGACUCCUACGGGAGGCAGCAGUGGGGAAUAUUGCACAAUGGGCGGAAGCCUGAUGCAGCAACGCCGCGUGCGGGAUGACGGCCUUCGGGUUGUAAACCGCUUUCGCCUGUGACGAAGCGUGAGUGACGGUAAUGGGUAAAGAAGCACCGGCUAACUACGUG
This 467-nucleotide ribosomal RNA is filed under the name uncultured bacterium. Its description in RNAcentral is "partial 16S ribosomal RNA". It matches the Rfam family "Bacterial small subunit ribosomal RNA", at positions 29 to 507 of the family's 1533-position model. The record is from RNAcentral.